RNAcentral lists this ribosomal RNA (358 nucleotides) under uncultured bacterium. RNAcentral's name for it is "bacterial SSU rRNA". It matches the Rfam family "Bacterial small subunit ribosomal RNA", at positions 30 to 385 of the family's 1533-position model. The record is from RNAcentral.
AUUGAACGCUGGCGGCGUGCCUAACACAUGCAAGUCGAGCGGUAACAGGUGUAGCAAUACAUGCUGACGAGCGGCGAACGGGUGAGUAAUGCUUCGGAAUCUGCCCAUGUAGUGGGGAAUAACCAGCCGAAAGGUUGGCUAAUACCGCAUACGACCUACGGGUGAAAGCAGGGGAUCGCAAGACCUUGCGCUAUUGGAUGAGCCGAAGUCGGAUUAGCUAGUUGGUAGGGUAACGGCCUACCAAGGCGACGAUCCGUAGCUGGUCUGAGAGGACGACCAGCCACACUGGGACUGAGACACGGCCCAGACUCCUACGGGAGGCAGCAGUGGGGAAUAUUGGACAAUGGGCGCAAGCCUG